AUGAUGAAAAUCGACAUUUGGACCUAGAACGGAAAGAAAUCGAUUAAGGGAUAAUUACGUCUUUUUUUUUCACCUUUGUGGUAUCGAGAGUUUCCAGGUUAGCUCGGGUUGGAGGCCGUCAGAGAUAUUAUCACACUGUCAAGCUAACUCUAUUGGUGUAGUGAUUUCAAGUACUUUGAGCCUAUGGCAUGUAUAGGAGUUUAAAUAUUAGAGUAUGUGAUAUGGCUUUAACCAUAUGUGUUGGCCUAUUUUGAUUAUGAGGUUGUAAAUCUAUUUUAAUUAUGCAUGCAUGUGCUAUGGUAUUAUGUGAUGAGUUUAUAAUGAUUAUAGUAUGAACGUGGUAAAGAUGUGAGUAAAAUCUAUGAUAUCUAUUGCAUGUGAAA
This is a long non-coding RNA of Gossypium arboreum, 383 nucleotides long. RefSeq lists it as uncharacterized. The transcript is spliced from 2 exons. The record is from RefSeq and is a predicted model, not a curated record. Lineage: Eukaryota; Viridiplantae; Streptophyta; Magnoliopsida; Malvales; Malvaceae.